UACGUAGGUGGCAAGCGUUGUCCGGAUUUACUGGGCGUAAAGAGCGCGCAGGCGGUCGUUCAAGUCGCGUGUGAAAGCCCCCGGCUCAACUGGGGAGGGUCACGCGAUACUGAUCGACUCGAAGGCAGGAGAGGGAAGUGGAAUUCCCGGUGUAGUGGUGAAAUGCGUAGAUAUCAGGAAGAACACCCGUGGCGAAGGCGGCUCUCUGGGACGGUACUGACGCUGAGACGCGAAAGCGUGGGGAGCGAACAGG
Molecule: ribosomal RNA, 253 nt
Filed under: uncultured bacterium
Lineage: Bacteria
Description: partial 16S ribosomal RNA
Rfam family: Bacterial small subunit ribosomal RNA
Source: RNAcentral